GAAGUGUACAUUGGUCGUGGAGG
This 23-nucleotide microRNA is filed under the name Nematostella vectensis (starlet sea anemone). RNAcentral's name for it is "nve-miR-9468". The record is from miRBase by way of RNAcentral. Lineage: Eukaryota; Metazoa; Cnidaria; Anthozoa; Actiniaria; Edwardsiidae.